This is a long non-coding RNA of Neodiprion fabricii, 798 nucleotides long. RefSeq lists it as uncharacterized. NCBI's taxonomy places the organism in Eukaryota, Metazoa, Arthropoda, Insecta, Hymenoptera, Diprionidae. The transcript has 2 exons. The record is from RefSeq and is a predicted model, not a curated record.
AGUUCCUCGGAAAAGAUAAAUCGAAAUUUAUUUACACAGUAUACAUGUACGUUGAGUGAGUGCUAUCGGGGCUGCGGAGACAAGUUGAUAAGAUCUGUGAAAUAUCUGUAGUAUACAUUAUAUUUAUACUGAGACGCGAUAAGAGAGAAUAAAAGGGGAAGAAAGACGCUCUUGGCCAAAAAAUACAUGCCCGUAAGCCUCGGUGGCGCUCGUUACUCAGCCGUUGGUAAACAAAGCCGAUCGUAAAACUCCGGGGGUCUAUGACUACACGCGGCGGCGGACCGUCGGGAGCAGAUACUCGGCUAACAAUGAGCGUUUGCAAAGGCUGCCACGCGAUGACUGAGCACGUGUGGGACUGGGGACAAUUGAUAUACAUAUAUGUAGUCCGAAGUCUGUCCUACGUCGCGCGUUGUUACAUCGCCACCCGGUAAUAGAGAGCAAAUUUGUUUAAGUUGAUUGCUGCGCGGUUCACUGUACAGACAAUGAGAAAAUUUAAAUAUACACGUCCAUUAUUAUCCGUAUCUUAAUUAUUAUUACUUUUUUUCAUCUUUGAUAUUUGUCUUACAACAAAAUUGAGUGUAUCGUUCGUGAUGUUAUCUCUCGCACUUUGAUGAACAAGUAUUUCGUAGAACACAUAAGGUAUACCGCAAUGCAUCGCGCAUAUCAGUUCGCUGUUUCACUGUUAUUUGUAAUGUAAUAUUUUCUGGUUUUAUUUAUUCUUCUUGUUGUACACCUUCGGAUGCACCAACAAUGCUUAUGUUUUCAAGAACAAUAAAACGGCGACGCCCCUGUUUUUUC